AUGAAUGAGUUUGAGACAAACCUUGUGUCAUGUGUUAUCGCACUCAGAUAUCGGAGCCUUGGAGAAUGUAAAAGAAAUGUUAAACGGGGGGGUGGCACGGGCGAUAACCUAGCCGCCGCCGCCCCCACUCCCCGCUCCUUCCUCGCUCCCCUGCCGCCGCUGGGGGAUGCCGACGGGCAAAUCUCGCUCGGCGGACGGCGGCGGCGGGGCCUCCUCGUCGUGUGGCGUGCGGCUUCGGCCCUGGACGGAGCUCCACUCCUGGUUGCGGCUGGGCGGCGGCGGGUCCUCUCGCCGGCGCAGGUAAGCCGGGGCGGCGGCCCCGGGCAAGGUGGCGGCGCUGCUCCUUCCGACUCUCUACUGAGGGUGUUCGGGGCGGUGCUACCGCCGCGGAUCUGA
Molecule: ribosomal RNA, 396 nt
Filed under: Triticum aestivum (bread wheat)
Lineage: Eukaryota; Viridiplantae; Streptophyta; Magnoliopsida; Poales; Poaceae
Description: partial small subunit ribosomal RNA
Source: RNAcentral